AAUUGACUUAAAAGAGUAGACAGAGUACAAAACAUCACCUUUAAUACUGGUAAAGAUAAUACUGAAUAGAGAGAGAGAGAGAGAGAGAGAGAGAGAGAGAGAGUGUGUGUGUGUGUGUGUGUGUGUGUGUGUGUGUGUUUCCUGCAAGUGGUGGGCUUCCUUAUGAGGUUCAGUAUUAUUAUGACACGUAUUUUCCCCAGCCCAGUCACAGAUAGUGCUAAGAGGACAGGCUGUUCCAUGAGAAGAUCUUGCCCAUGACAGGCUUGUGCAGAAUGAACAGAGAACAUUCAUUACGCAUAAAGACUUUCAGAAGUUCUACACUGCUUUAACUGCAGAGAGCGUCAAAGAAAAGAGUGUCCACAAUGGAAGAGAAAGAAGAAGAGGUGAAGUUAGGGGUGACCAAUGAAAAUUCCAUCUAAGUGACUUGGGGCAACACUAUCAUGUAUAGUGUUAAUAUACAUUAACACUCAAGGAAGAAUAAAGGACUUUCAAGUAAGGCCAGCUUUGCUGCCAUAUGCUGUACUUUUGCUGCUAUUGCCCUUCACUACUGCCAUGUAUGAUGCUUUCUGGUUUAUGUAACCUUCUGCUCCUAAGUUUCAUCCCGACUUUGGCCCACUGCCAUGCUCUGACUCUGAAAUCUUUGCAAGUCUUGGUACUGUCAGCCCAUGCUUUUGCUUGCUUAGUCCAUUCCUCUCCGUAUACAGUCUAGGACUCUUCCUGCCUGUCUCAUCAU
This 733-nucleotide long non-coding RNA is filed under the name Homo sapiens (human). Its description in RNAcentral is "HSALNT0343067". The record is from RNAcentral. Lineage: Eukaryota; Metazoa; Chordata; Mammalia; Primates; Hominidae.